UGGGGAAUUUUGCGCAAUGGGCGAAAGCCUGACGCAGCAACGCCGCGUGAGUGAUGAAGGCUUUCGGGUCGUAAAGCUCUGUCAAGGGGAAAGAAGUGUAUUGUGGCUAAUAUCCACGAUACUUGACGGUACCCCUAAAGGAAGCACCGGCUAACUCCGUGCCAGCAGCCGCGGUAAUACGGAGGGUGCGAGCGUUGUUCGGAAUUAUUGGGCGUAAAGCGCGUGUAGGCGGUUUGUUAAGUCUGAUGUGAAAGCCCCGGGCUCAACCUGGGAAGUGCAUUGGAAACUGGCAGACUUGAAUACGGUAGAGGGUAGUGGAAUUCCUGGUGUAGGAGUGAAAUCCGUAGAUAUCAGGAGGAACACCGGUGGCGAAGGCGGCUACCUGGACCGAUAUUGACGCUGAGACGCGAAAGCGUGGGUAGCAAACA
This 428-nucleotide ribosomal RNA is filed under the name uncultured prokaryote. Its description in RNAcentral is "bacterial SSU rRNA". It matches the Rfam family "Bacterial small subunit ribosomal RNA", at positions 355 to 774 of the family's 1533-position model. The record is from RNAcentral.